This 334-nucleotide unclassified non-coding RNA is filed under the name soil metagenome. Its description in RNAcentral is "partial contains 5.8S ribosomal RNA, internal transcribed spacer 2, and large subunit ribosomal RNA". The stretch from base 1 to 120 matches the Rfam family "5.8S ribosomal RNA", at positions 35 to 154 of the family's 154-position model. The record is from RNAcentral.
GAUGAAGAACGUAGCAAAAUGCGAUAAGUAGUGUGAAUUGCAGAAUUCAGUGAAUCAUCGAAUCUUUGAACGCACAUUGCGCCCGCCAGUAUUCUGGCGGGCAUGCCUGUUCGAGCGUCAUUUCAACCAUCAAGCCCCAGGCUUGUGUUGGAGCCCUGCGGCUGCCGCAGCCUCCCAAAACCAGUGGCGGGCUCGCUAUCACACCGAGUGCAGUAGUUUACUCUUCGCUCAGGGCGUGUGGCGGGUGCUAGCCGUAAAACCCCCAACUUCUCAAGGUUGACCUCGGAUCAGGUAGGAAUACCCGCUGAACUUAAGCAUAUCAAUAAGCGGAGGA